This 1196-nucleotide ribosomal RNA is filed under the name Helicobacter sp. MIT 00-7129. Its description in RNAcentral is "bacterial SSU rRNA". It matches the Rfam family "Bacterial small subunit ribosomal RNA", at positions 273 to 1486 of the family's 1533-position model. The record is from RNAcentral. Lineage: Bacteria; Pseudomonadati; Campylobacterota; Epsilonproteobacteria; Campylobacterales; Helicobacteraceae.
GCUAUGACGGGUAUCCGGCCUGAGAGGGUGAACGGACACACUGGAACUGAGACACGGUCCAGACUCCUACGGGAGGCAGCAGUAGGGAAUAUUGCUCAAUGGGGGAAACCCUGAAGCAGCAACGCCGCGUGGAGGAUGAAGGUUUUAGGAUUGUAAACUCCUUUUGUUAGAGAAGAUAAUGACGGUAUCUAACGAAUAAGCACCGGCUAACUCCGUGCCAGCAGCCGCGGUAAUACGGAGGGUGCAAGCGUUACUCGGAAUCACUGGGCGUAAAGAGUGCGUAGGCGGGAAAAUAAGUCAGAUGUGAAAUCCUAUGGCUUAACCAUAGAACUGCAUUUGAAACUAUUUUUCUAGAGUGUGGGAGAGGUAGGUGGAAUUCUUGGUGUAGGGGUAAAAUCCGUAGAGAUCAAGAGGAAUACUCAUUGCGAAGGCGACCUGCUGGAACAUCACUGACGCUGAUUGCACGAAAGCGUGGGGAGCAAACAGGAUUAGAUACCCUGGUAGUCCACGCCCUAAACGAUGAAUGCUAGUUGUUGGGAGGCUUAGUCCUUUCAGUAAUGCAGCUAACGCAUUAAGCAUUCCGCCUGGGGAGUACGGUCGCAAGAUUAAAACUCAAAGGAAUAGACGGGGACCCGCACAAGCGGUGGAGCAUGUGGUUUAAUUCGAAGAUACACGAAGAACCUUACCUAGGCUUGACAUUGAUGGAAUUUUCUAGAAAUAGAGAAGUGUCUAGCUUGCUAGACCCUGAAAACAGGUGCUGCACGGCUGUCGUCAGCUCGUGUCGUGAGAUGUUGGGUUAAGUCCCGCAACGAGCGCAACCCUCUUUCUUAGUUGCUAACAGAUUAUGCUGAGCACUCUAAGAAUACUGCCUGCGUAAGCAGGAGGAAGGUGAGGACGACGUCAAGUCAUCAUGGCCCUUACGCCUAGGGCUACACACGUGCUACAAUGGGGUGCACAAAGAGAAGCAAUACCGCGAGGUGGAGCAAAUCUAUAAAACGCCUCUCAGUUCGGAUUGUAGUCUGCAACUCGACUACAUGAAGCUGGAAUCGCUAGUAAUCGCAAAUCAGCCAUGUUGCGGUGAAUACGUUCCCGGGUCUUGUACUCACCGCCCGUCACACCAUGGGAGUUGUGUUUGCCUUAAGUCAGGAUGCUAAAAUAGCUACUGCCCACGGCACACACAGCGACUGGGGUGAAGU